GUUUUUCUGCAGUUAUCCUGACUGGACAAUGAUAUUUGUAUUCUAAAAUUAAAGAUAAUGUCAAGUUCAAUUUUAUGUAGAUCAAUUUGCAAAUUAUCCCACAAGGUGUCAAUUUUCAAUGUUUUAUAAGAAUAUGAAGGGAAAAGGCACAUAAUGAUAUAGCUCUUGUCGACAUUCGAUGUUUUGUAAGAAUAUGAAGCGAAAAGGCA
RNAcentral lists this long non-coding RNA (209 nucleotides) under Mytilus galloprovincialis (Mediterranean mussel). Lineage: Eukaryota; Metazoa; Mollusca; Bivalvia; Mytilida; Mytilidae. The record is from RNAcentral.